Molecule: ribosomal RNA, 482 nt
Filed under: uncultured bacterium
Lineage: Bacteria
Description: partial 16S ribosomal RNA
Rfam family: Bacterial small subunit ribosomal RNA
Source: RNAcentral
AUUGAACGCUGGCGGCAUGCUUUACACAUGCAAGUCGAACGGUAACAGGCCGCAAGGUGCUGACGAGUGGCGAACGGGUGAGUAAUGCAUCGGAACGUGCCCAGUCGUGGGGGAUAACUACUCGAAAGAGUAGCUAAUACCGCAUACGAUCUAUGGAUGAAAGCGGGGGACCGUAGGGCCUCGCGCGAUUGGAGCGGCCGAAGUCAGAUUAGGUAGUUGGUGGGGUAAAGGCUCACCAAGCCAACGAUCUGUAGCUGGUCUGAGAGGACGACCAGCCACACUGGGACUGAGACACGGCCCAGACUCCUACGGGAGGCAGCAGUGGGGAAUUUUGGACAAUGGGCGCAAGCCUGAUCCAGCAAUGCCGCGUGCAGGAAGAAGGCCUUCGGGUUGUAAACUGCUUUUGUACGGAACGAAACGGCUCUGGUUAAUACCCGGGGCUAAUGACGGUACCGUAAGAAUAAGCACCGGCUAACUACGUG